UCACAGUAACAAGGUAGCUUGGUGACUCCAAUGGUCACGGUAACAAGGUAGCUUGGUGACUCCAAUGGUCACAGUAACAAGGUAGCUUGGUGACUCCAAUGGUCACGGUAACAAGGUAGCUUGGUGACUCCAAUGGUCACAGAAACAAGGUAGCUUGGUGACUCCAAUGGUCACAGAAACAAGGUAGCUUGGUGACUCCAAUGGUCACAGUAACAAGGGAGCUUGGUGCCUUCAAUGGUCACAGUAACAAGGUAGCUUGGUGCCUACAAUGCUCACAGUAACAAGGUAGCUUGGUGACUCCAAUGGUCACAGUAACAAGGUGGCUUGGUGACUCCAAUGGUCACAGUAACAAGGUAGCUUGGUGCCUCCAAUGGUCACAGUAGCAAGGUAGCUUGGUGCCUCCAAUGGUCACAGUAAUAAGGUCGCUUGGUGCCUCCAAUGGUCACAGUAACAAGGUAGCUUGGGGACUCCAAUGGUCACAGUAACAAGGUAGCUUGGUGACACCAAUGGUCACAGUAACAAGGUGGCUUGGUGACUCCAAUGGUCACAGUAACAAGGUAGCUUGGUGACUCCGAUGGUCACAGUAACAAGGUAGCUUUGUGCCUCCAAUGGUCACAGUAACAAGGUAGCUUGGGGACUCCAAUGGUCACAGUAACAAGGUAGCUUGGUGACACCAAUGGUCACAGUAACAAGGUAGCUUGGUGACACCAAUGGUCACAGUAACAAGGUAGCUUGGUGACACCAAUGGUCACAGUAACAAGGUGGCUUGGUGAC
This is a long non-coding RNA of Mizuhopecten yessoensis (Yesso scallop), 774 nucleotides long. RefSeq lists it as uncharacterized. Lineage: Eukaryota; Metazoa; Mollusca; Bivalvia; Pectinida; Pectinidae. The record is from RefSeq and is a predicted model, not a curated record. The transcript is spliced from 4 exons.